Long non-coding RNA from Zonotrichia leucophrys gambelii, 801 nucleotides. RefSeq lists it as uncharacterized. The transcript is spliced from 4 exons. The record is from RefSeq and is a predicted model, not a curated record. Lineage: Eukaryota; Metazoa; Chordata; Aves; Passeriformes; Passerellidae.
CUGAGUGCUCACCUGUGAGCAGUUUAAAAGACUUCUGGCAAGCAAAGGCUGUGCCUCAGAAAACCAUGGAGCACUUCUGAGACAGCCAACCCAAAUGUACAUGGAGAUCUAACAGGAAAAAGGGAACUUGUCCUUAUUAAAAAAGAAAAAUAUGAGUGUUUUGCAAAAUCUGAGUUCCAUUCAAUAUCCACUCCCUCCUUGAACGUCUUGUCACACUCUUUUUCCUAUAAAUCAAUGAACUGUAAGACGUCCAAGCUUUAAUCAAAGGAAAUGUUAUUAUUCUGCAGGUACUUUCACUGUGGAUUGCAGCUUUAUCACUGAAAAUUCUAUUUUCACAAAUCUUUUGGUGGUCCCAGUUGGUUCAUCUGGGGCCAGGUCUGGUUUUGCAUCUACUGAAUUACUAUUUCAGCAUCUCAUUAACACACAAUCAGCCCUGCUUGCACUGAGUUACUAUUCAGUACCUGUUUAUUUCCUGUUUCUCUCUGAAAAAUCACCUGCCCUACUGAGGCAGAAUAUCACCAUCUAAUCCUGGCAACAUGCAGCUCCUGUGGCAGAACAGGGAACUGAGCCCAGACUCAAUCCCUGACUACUUCCUCACCCACAAGGUAAUUUUCCCUUAUGGCUGGUAAUGGUGACUAAAUAGUCAUGGUAAUGGUGACCAAGUUUGUUUUUGACUAAGCCACAGCUCAAUUCAGCUCCCGUGCUCAGUUCAUCUGCAAUUAGUCAGCUUCACACAAAUAUUUACAUGACACGUAUCCUGGCUUGUUUUUUCACUUCCUUGCUUUAAUAAAGGCCAAAAUG